CUCGUAGGCGGCUCAGUAAGUCGGGUGUGAAACCCCCAGGCUCAACCUGGGGACGCCACUCGAUACUGCUGUGGCUAGAGUCCAGUAGGGGAGUGUGGGAUUCCCGGUGUAGCGGUGAAAUGCGCAGAUAUCGGGAGGAACACCAGCGGCGAAGGCGGCACUCUGGGCUGGAACUGACGCUGAGGAGCGAAAGCGUGGGUAGCAAACA
Molecule: ribosomal RNA, 208 nt
Filed under: uncultured bacterium
Lineage: Bacteria
Description: partial 16S ribosomal RNA
Rfam family: Bacterial small subunit ribosomal RNA
Source: RNAcentral